AACGAACGCUGGCGGCGCGCCUAAUACAUGCAAGUCGAGCGAGAAGACGUAGCAAUACGUUUGUAAAGCGGCGAACGGGUGAGGAAUACAUGGGUAACCUACCCUCGAGUGGGGAAUAACUAGCCGAAAGGUUAGCUAAUACCGCGUACGCUCCUUGGACUUCGGUUCAGGGAGGAAAGCGAUACCGUGGGUAUCGCGCUCUUGGAUGGGCUCAUGUCCUAUCAGCUUGUUGGUGAGGUAACGGCUCACCAAGGCUUCGACGGGUAGCUGGUCUGAGAGGACGAUCAGCCACACUGGCACUGCGACACGGGCCAGACUCCUACGGGAGGCAGCAGUAAGGAAUAUUGCGCAAUGGGCGAAAGCCUGACGCAGCGACGCCGCGUGGGGGAUGAAGGUCCUCGGAUUGUAAACCCCUUUCGGGAGGGAAGAUGGAACGAGCAAUCGUUCGGACGGUACCUCCAGAAGCA
Molecule: ribosomal RNA, 467 nt
Filed under: uncultured bacterium
Lineage: Bacteria
Description: bacterial SSU rRNA
Rfam family: Bacterial small subunit ribosomal RNA
Source: RNAcentral